Molecule: ribosomal RNA, 460 nt
Filed under: uncultured bacterium
Lineage: Bacteria
Description: partial 16S ribosomal RNA
Rfam family: Bacterial small subunit ribosomal RNA
Source: RNAcentral
CCUACGGGAGGCAGCAGUGAGGAAUAUUGGUCAAUGGCCGGAAGGCUGAACCAGCCAUGCCGCGUGAAGGUCAGUGCCCUAUGGGCGUUAAACUUCUUUUGUGCGGGAGCAAUAAUGGUCACGUGUGGCCAGACGAGAGUACCGUACGAAUAAGCAUCGGCUAACUCCGUGCCAGCAGCCGCGGUAAUACGGGGGAUGCAAGCGUUAUCCGGAUUUAUUGGGUUUAAGGGGUGCGUAGGCUGUGAGGUAAGUCAGCGGUGAAAUGCCCCCGCUCAACGGGGUGAAGUGCCAUUGAUACUGCCUUGCUGGAAUGCGGAUGCCGUGGGAGGAAGGUGUGGUGUAGCGGUGAAAGGCAUAGAUAUCACACAGAACACCGAUUGCGAAGGCAUCUAACGAAUCCGCGAUUGACGCUGAGGCACGAAAGCGUGGGUAUCAAACAGGAUUAGAUACCCCGGUAGUC